UUUCUCUAGUUUUCUCUUUCUCUGGUAGACAGAAAAGAAAGUAAGAACAUAGCAUAAAUUUUUGUAAAAUUGAAUGAGAAAGGUGAAUGGAGAGUGAAAUAUCCGCAGAGAGAGGGGGUAUCUCAAAAUUCUCUUUCGUCCCUUCCAUUCUCUUCUGAUUACAUUCUUUUGAAUGGAGCUAGUCUUGAAUGGUAUUAAUAGUGUGGUUUUAGAAUCAAAGAAGCUUGUUGCAAAAAUGAACUUGGGUAUGGAUUAUCAGGGUUAUAGAUAUAUUUCUCUGACCUAGAAGUUCAAGUGAGAAUCGCCAUGUUGCUUUCGUUAAUUGAGAAUAUUAUUGGAGAUGAUUCAAGCAAUUUUGAGUCAUGGUUGUAUACAGGAAGAAAUUGGUAAGAGUUCAUAGGAGUUUUUGGGUUUAGAUGGAGCGAGAUUACAGUGGAAGAUGGUAUUGCUGUGAUGCCUAUGUCGGAAGAUAAUUGAGUACUACAAAGUUCCAAUAGGUUUAUUUAAGGCAUGCAACAACAAAAGUAAAAUUUGGGGGUUUAUCAAAGAUUUAGCCGUGAAAACCCGUCUAGGUCUGAUGCUGCUUCAGUUGGAAUUGAGGAAUAAACUUCAAAUUCAGGUUAAAGGUGAAUUGGUUCCAAAAAUUUGAAAGUCCGGUUUCUUGAGUGGCGUAUCAGGAGUCGGAGCUUGUCAAACGAGCCGAAACCCGGUUCCCUGGAAGUCCAGAUUCUAUGAUCUGUCAUAGAAUCUCUUUCUGAAAGUUCUCUAAAAUUAUCGAAGCUCGCCUCAUCUCCAUAUUGCCAAGGGCGAACUCAUUCUCACCAUGAAGAGCAUCUCUUGAAAAGCGAGGGCAGAGUGCAACAACUUCUAAAAUUCGGCUUGGAUAUUGUUGAGCCAUUCUCGGAGCCAUCUCGCGUUAAAGCGAAGAUUUUCGCAAGUGGUCACGAGCUUUCCAAGAUCUAUGAAUUAACCAGAAGGAAUUUUGUUCAGAGUCAAGUCCUGUACGACAUCAAGGGUCUCCAGCAAGUCGUUAAUUAUUUCAAUCAUAGGAGGAACAACAUAAGUUAUUAUCCCCAUUGUAGUAAUAUGGCCAUAUCUUCGCCAAAUCAACCGGUACAAUUCGG
This is a long non-coding RNA of Papaver somniferum (opium poppy), 1124 nucleotides long. RefSeq lists it as uncharacterized. NCBI's taxonomy places the organism in Eukaryota, Viridiplantae, Streptophyta, Magnoliopsida, Ranunculales, Papaveraceae. The transcript has 2 exons. The record is from RefSeq and is a predicted model, not a curated record.